AUGAAUAUGAAUUCCCUUCAAACAAAAAAUAUUUUAUGCGAUAAUAAUUCACUCCAAUUACACAGUAUUAUAAUAAGUAAUUCUAAUGGGUCAUUUACAAAGGAUAAUGUUUUAAAUGAAAGUGGUCGAAAUAUGUUAGUGGAGAUUAUUAUUUGUGAUUCAAAACUGGUUCUGCGAUGACAGUUUGAUUGGCAAAUUCUAUAGCCAAUACAAAUAUACAAUUGUUGACAAAUAAUACUUUUCAUUCUGAAAUUAAGGAUACAAAUUUUGUUGGUGAUGCCAUGAUUUCCCAAAAGGUGAACUAUAUACAUAGUAUUUUAACAACAUUUGGCCAAUGAAGCAAAGUGAAAUUGAUGGUGUAAUGUGUUUAGACACGUCUGAAAGUAUGAUUCAGCAUUCUACAUCUACGGCUGAAGAUACAGAUAAAGAGGAUUAAAAAACAUUUAUUUCAUAUUUAUAUGUAACAUUAAUUAUUUAGUAUAAUUCAAUUGUUCUUGUGUUUUUAGAUGGAAUUGAUGGUCUAAUGUGCUAGACACAGGAAAGAAAAAGCCAUCUACUUAAAGCAUAUUGAAACAUAUAAAUUUAAGAUGGAUUUGACUCCUAGAAAGGAAGUUUUUAUGAUGCCUCCGAAGAAGCCAAGAAGAAAAAUUCUUUACUUAAUUAUCGAUACGAUACCAGUACUUUGUUUUAUUUGUAAUACAAAAUCGUAUGGUGAACGAACUUGUAUAAUAUGUUCAAGCAUUAUAUCACACAGUUAUGUAUCAUACCCAGAAAAGAUUGGAGAACUGAUGGGAGAAGAAUGUGUUAUAAUUGUCACGUGUACGGAUCACAUGUGCAUGAAAUGCACAUCCCUUCUCAUUCUUAUGGACUAUCUGCAAAAUGAUCUGAAACUUGUUAAAAAUGCAAUAUUGACCAACGUACAAGAUAAAUAUGGAAUUUUACCUAAUGGUCAGCCAGAAUGAUCCACUAGUGGCGGUAGAAGUAAUGCCCCAAAUAAAAUAAGAUAAGACCCUUCAAAUAUUUAAAUAUACAAAUGCCGUUUUUGUUCAUUCCAAUCUAAUUACAUUUUUCACUUUAGGUAUGUCCAUAAAUACCUCAAUUUAUUUUAUAUGUAUUUAUAUUUCAGUGACUCAUUUCAUGCUUUGUCAUAUGAAGAAGAAUGAUAGUGAUAAAUCAAAACAAACUGUGACAAAAACAGUAACCCAACAACAAAAACCUCAGCAGAAACAAACCAACCAUCAGCUGAACAAGGGCAAUAUCCCAGAUGAAAUCUUAAACAAGAGACAAAAUAUUUCUGAAAGAUGUCUGGACAAACAGAACCUUUGAAAGUUAACCAAGAAAUCACUGCUACAAAUGUAGAUAUAGGUGACAAGGCAAUUGUAGGCAGUGAGGCUAUUUAAACAUUGAACCGAUUUUGCCUGCCAUUCAUAAUGUCGUCCUCUCUUCCUCAAAUGAUGGGACCUAUUUCUUAUGCAGUCUUGUAAAAUAUGAUGGCAGUUCUUUGUUUUAUUUGUAAUGUGACAUUGUGUGAGGAACUCAACAAAAAUGGGUAUGUUCAAACUUUACACCACACAGUUAUGUAUCAUACCCAGAAAAGAUUGGAGAACUGAUGGGAGAAGAAUUUGUUAUUAUUGUCACGCCUGUAGGUUACAUGUGCAUGAAAUGCACAUCGCCUCUCAUUCAUAUGGACAAGCUGGAAAAUUAUCUGAAACUUGUUAAAAAUGCAAUAUUAACCAACGUAGAAAAGAAAUACGGAAUGUUGCUUGCUGAUCAGCCUGAACAUUCCUCUAGUGCUGGUGGAAGUAAUGCUCCAAAUAAAAUUAGACAAGACCCUUCAAAUAGUCAAAUAUACAAGUGCCAUUUUUGUGCUUUCCGAUCUAAAGACCUUGGUGACUUUCGGUUGCACCGCCUACACCUGCGGUACUUGCGGCACUGAUUGAACCUAUGUUACAGCUAUCUGCCUUAAUGGUACUUGUCAUAAGUUUGCAUUUUCCAAAGAUGGUACUAGCAACACAAAUUUAUCUUAGAAGGGUCUGGCAACUAGCAACUCGUGAAUGUCUUGUUGAGGCACAACAAAGAAUUUGUUAUGACAGGCCAGGUGGAAGUUGAUAACGAACCUCGUGUACAAGGGAAUUGGAAAGAUGGACGGGACAAAAACUUGCAUAUAUCCAACUCGUUGCUCGAAAACUCGUCUACAGAAUUUCCAGUUGUUGUGUACAGGGACGACUGGAUGGAGUUCACCAGCCAGCUAGACAACACUGUCGUUUAAAACGAAGGGUUUUCCAGAAUCGUUAUUACAUCAGUUUAUAAAUCCUAUCUAAAUCGAUUUCAUCGCAUUUAUAAUAAUAAAUAAAAUACAACGGCCGAUCUUUGAAUUAUGUCUGAAAUGAAUAAUAAAAGAAAAAGGGCAUUUUUGGAUGAUGAUGCUGACAACUUUAUCAGAAAAAUGCCAAAAACAUUUAACAUUGUCAUAAAUACCAAGGAAUACAAGUCAUAGGCUCGUUGUGAAGAACUUAUAAAAAUUCCGCGUGAUCAUGAUUGUGCGUCGGUGAUUAUUAUAAGUGACGACGAUUCAUCCACGCAAGAGAGGAAAUCUCACUUGGACAAUCACAACGCCGCGAUACGGAAUGAAAAUCAGGACAAAGAUAUUGAUGAUGAAACCUCGGCAUCAGCGAGUAUACCCACCGAAAACCCCGUCUUCCCAAGUACAUGUUCGGCAGAGACGAUUGAAUCAUCAUAUGAGUGUGUAGAACUAUUAUGUCUUACUCAUAAAACCCGUGCACACUUUGUGAAAAAAUCGUCUACCCGAAAGUUAGAAAGUCAUAACCGUACUAACUUAGAGAACUAUGAUGCUGAUGACGAAAAAUCGUCAUCCGCUAAUGUUGAACACGCCGAAAAAUCAGUCUUCCAAAAAUGUAUAAAUUUAGCAGAGAGUCUUGAAACAUAUGUGGAACAUAAAGUACCAGUACGGAAUGUUGAUUAUUGUGAUAAAAGUAUGGAUAAAGUAAUUGCCUGGGAUUGUGAUCCGGCGUCCAAUGUCUCUUACAAUUGGAGUAAUACGGAUAAAUAAUUUCUAAAAUCGUAAUCGGCAGAACCUGAUGUUUGUUAUCCUUAUGGACGUAAUAAUUCUCUUUUUUAUAUUGUAUUGUUUAUAUUGUUUAUAUUGUUUAUAUUGUUUGUAUUGUUUAUAUUAUUGUUUAUAU
Long non-coding RNA from Metopolophium dirhodum (rose-grain aphid), 3203 nucleotides. RefSeq lists it as uncharacterized. The transcript has 14 exons. Lineage: Eukaryota; Metazoa; Arthropoda; Insecta; Hemiptera; Aphididae. The record is from RefSeq and is a predicted model, not a curated record.